AAUAGAUACCCAGGUAGUCCACGCUGUAAACGAUGAGGACUAAAUGUUGGUAGGGGAACCUAUCGGUAUUGAAGCUAACGCGAUAAGUCUUCCGCCUGGGAAGUACGGCCGCAAGGUUGAAACUCAAAUGAAUUGACGGGGGCCCGCACAAGCGGUGGAGCAUGUGGUUUAAUUCGAUGCAACGCGAAGAACCUUACCUACCCUUGACAUCCUGCGAAUCCCGAUGAGAGUUGGGAGUGCCGCAAGGAGCGCAGAGAUAGGUGCUGCAUGGCUGUCGUCAGCUCGUGUUGUGAGAUGUUGGAUUAAGUCCCGUAACGAGCGCAACCCUUGUCCUUAGUUGCCAGCAUUAAGUUGGGGACUCUAAGGAGACUGCCGGUGAGGAACCGGAGGAAGGCGGGGACGACGUCAAGUCAUCAUGGCCUUUAGUGGGUAGGGCUACACACGUGCUACAAUGGGGCGUACAGAGGGUCGCGAACCCGCGAGGGGAGCCAAUCUCAUAAAGCAUCUCGUAGUCCGGAUUGGAGU
This 525-nucleotide ribosomal RNA is filed under the name uncultured bacterium. Its description in RNAcentral is "bacterial SSU rRNA". It matches the Rfam family "Bacterial small subunit ribosomal RNA", at positions 777 to 1304 of the family's 1533-position model. The record is from RNAcentral.